GAGGGUAUAGCUUAGUGGUAGAAUGUGUGCUUCGUAGGCACAAGGUCCUGGGUUCAAUCCCCAGUACUUCUG
Molecule: transfer RNA, 72 nt
Filed under: Camelus bactrianus (Bactrian camel)
Lineage: Eukaryota; Metazoa; Chordata; Mammalia; Artiodactyla; Camelidae
Also listed under: 2 other names
Rfam family: tRNA
About the family: Transfer RNA (tRNA) molecules are approximately 80 nucleotides in length. Their secondary structure includes four short double-helical elements and three loops (D, anti-codon, and T loops).
Source: Rfam by way of RNAcentral